This 2901-nucleotide ribosomal RNA is filed under the name Escherichia coli. RNAcentral's name for it is "bacterial LSU rRNA". It matches the Rfam family "Bacterial large subunit ribosomal RNA". Lineage: Bacteria; Pseudomonadati; Pseudomonadota; Gammaproteobacteria; Enterobacterales; Enterobacteriaceae. The record is from RNAcentral.
UUAAGCGACUAAGCGUACACGGUGGAUGCCCUGGCAGUCAGAGGCGAUGAAGGACGUGCUAAUCUGCGAUAAGCGUCGGUAAGGUGAUAUGAACCGUUAUAACCGGCGAUUUCCGAAUGGGGAAACCCAGUGUGUUUCGACACACUAUCAUUAACUGAAUCCAUAGGUUAAUGAGGCGAACCGGGGGAACUGAAACAUCUAAGUACCCCGAGGAAAAGAAAUCAACCGAGAUUCCCCCAGUAGCGGCGAGCGAACGGGGAGCAGCCCAGAGCCUGAAUCAGUGUGUGUGUUAGUGGAAGCGUCUGGAAAGGCGCGCGAUACAGGGUGACAGCCCCGUACACAAAAAUGCACAUGCUGUGAGCUCGAUGAGUAGGGCGGGACACGUGGUAUCCUGUCUGAAUAUGGGGGGACCAUCCUCCAAGGCUAAAUACUCCUGACUGACCGAUAGUGAACCAGUACCGUGAGGGAAAGGCGAAAAGAACCCCGGCGAGGGGAGUGAAAAAGAACCUGAAACCGUGUACGUACAAGCAGUGGGAGCCUCUUUAUGGGGUGACUGCGUACCUUUUGUAUAAUGGGUCAGCGACUUAUAUUCUGUAGCAAGGUUAACCGAAUAGGGGAGCCGAAGGGAAACCGAGUCUUAACUGGGCGUUAAGUUGCAGGGUAUAGACCCGAAACCCGGUGAUCUAGCCAUGGGCAGGUUGAAGGUUGGGUAACACUAACUGGAGGACCGAACCGACUAAUGUUGAAAAAUUAGCGGAUGACUUGUGGCUGGGGGUGAAAGGCCAAUCAAACCGGGAGAUAGCUGGUUCUCCCCGAAAGCUAUUUAGGUAGCGCCUCGUGAACUCAUCUCCGGGGGUAGAGCACUGUUUCGGCAAGGGGGUCAUCCCGACUUACCAACCCGAUGCAAACUGCGAAUACCGGAGAAUGUUAUCACGGGAGACACACGGCGGGUGCUAACGUCCGUCGUGAAGAGGGAAACAACCCAGACCGCCAGCUAAGGUCCCAAAGUCAUGGUUAAGUGGGAAACGAUGUGGGAAGGCCCAGACAGCCAGGAUGUUGGCUUAGAAGCAGCCAUCAUUUAAAGAAAGCGUAAUAGCUCACUGGUCGAGUCGGCCUGCGCGGAAGAUGUAACGGGGCUAAACCAUGCACCGAAGCUGCGGCAGCGACGCUUAUGCGUUGUUGGGUAGGGGAGCGUUCUGUAAGCCUGCGAAGGUGUGCUGUGAGGCAUGCUGGAGGUAUCAGAAGUGCGAAUGCUGACAUAAGUAACGAUAAAGCGGGUGAAAAGCCCGCUCGCCGGAAGACCAAGGGUUCCUGUCCAACGUUAAUCGGGGCAGGGUGAGUCGACCCCUAAGGCGAGGCCGAAAGGCGUAGUCGAUGGGAAACAGGUUAAUAUUCCUGUACUUGGUGUUACUGCGAAGGGGGGACGGAGAAGGCUAUGUUGGCCGGGCGACGGUUGUCCCGGUUUAAGCGUGUAGGCUGGUUUUCCAGGCAAAUCCGGAAAAUCAAGGCUGAGGCGUGAUGACGAGGCACUACGGUGCUGAAGCAACAAAUGCCCUGCUUCCAGGAAAAGCCUCUAAGCAUCAGGUAACAUCAAAUCGUACCCCAAACCGACACAGGUGGUCAGGUAGAGAAUACCAAGGCGCUUGAGAGAACUCGGGUGAAGGAACUAGGCAAAAUGGUGCCGUAACUUCGGGAGAAGGCACGCUGAUAUGUAGGUGAAGUCCCUCGCGGAUGGAGCUGAAAUCAGUCGAAGAUACCAGCUGGCUGCAACUGUUUAUUAAAAACACAGCACUGUGCAAACACGAAAGUGGACGUAUACGGUGUGACGCCUGCCCGGUGCCGGAAGGUUAAUUGAUGGGGUUAGCGCAAGCGAAGCUCUUGAUCGAAGCCCCGGUAAACGGCGGCCGUAACUAUAACGGUCCUAAGGUAGCGAAAUUCCUUGUCGGGUAAGUUCCGACCUGCACGAAUGGCGUAAUGAUGGCCAGGCUGUCUCCACCCGAGACUCAGUGAAAUUGAACUCGCUGUGAAGAUGCAGUGUACCCGCGGCAAGACGGAAAGACCCCGUGAACCUUUACUAUAGCUUGACACUGAACAUUGAGCCUUGAUGUGUAGGAUAGGUGGGAGGCUUUGAAGUGUGGACGCCAGUCUGCAUGGAGCCGACCUUGAAAUACCACCCUUUAAUGUUUGAUGUUCUAACGUUGACCCGUAAUCCGGGUUGCGGACAGUGUCUGGUGGGUAGUUUGACUGGGGCGGUCUCCUCCUAAAGAGUAACGGAGGAGCACGAAGGUUGGCUAAUCCUGGUCGGACAUCAGGAGGUUAGUGCAAUGGCAUAAGCCAGCUUGACUGCGAGCGUGACGGCGCGAGCAGGUGCGAAAGCAGGUCAUAGUGAUCCGGUGGUUCUGAAUGGAAGGGCCAUCGCUCAACGGAUAAAAGGUACUCCGGGGAUAACAGGCUGAUACCGCCCAAGAGUUCAUAUCGACGGCGGUGUUUGGCACCUCGAUGUCGGCUCAUCACAUCCUGGGGCUGAAGUAGGUCCCAAGGGUAUGGCUGUUCGCCAUUUAAAGUGGUACGCGAGCUGGGUUUAGAACGUCGUGAGACAGUUCGGUCCCUAUCUGCCGUGGGCGCUGGAGAACUGAGGGGGGCUGCUCCUAGUACGAGAGGACCGGAGUGGACGCAUCACUGGUGUUCGGGUUGUCAUGCCAAUGGCACUGCCCGGUAGCUAAAUGCGGAAGAGAUAAGUGCUGAAAGCAUCUAAGCACGAAACUUGCCCCGAGAUGAGUUCUCCCUGACUCCUUGAGAGUCCUGAAGGAACGUUGAAGACGACGACGUUGAUAGGCCGGGUGUGUAAGCGCAGCGAUGCGUUGAGCUAACCGGUACUAAUGAACCGUGAGGCUUAACCUU